AGUGGCGUAAGGGUUAGUAAUGGAUAGGUAACGUACCCUUUGCUUCGGAAUAGCGUCGUUCGCCUUCGGGCGAACUUCCGAAAGGGGCGGUAAUACCGGAUAAUAUCACUUGUUGACAGACAUGUGAGCAAAGAUUUAUCGGCAAUGGAGCGGCCUAUCUCCUAUCAGCUUGUUGGUGAGGUAAUGGCUCACCAAGGCUUCGACGGGUAGCGGGACUGAGAGGUUGACCCGCAACAUCGGGACUGAGACACUGCCCGGACCUCCACGGAGGGCUGCAGUAACGAAUAUUGCGCAAUGGGCGAAAGCCUGACGCAGCGACGCCGCGUGCGGGAGGAAGUCCCUCGGGAUGUAAACCGCUGUCAGGGGUAAGAAAGUUCACUUCGGUGGAUUGAUCUAACCCACAGGAAGUCACGGCUAACUUCGUGCCAGCAGCCGCGGUAAGACGAAGGUGGCUAGCGUUGUUCGGUGUUACUGGGCUUAAAGCGUGUGUAGGCGGAAUGGUAAGCGUCUUGUGAAAUACCUCGGCUUAACCGAGGAAUUGCUGGGCGAACUACUUUUCUUGAGGCAAGUAGGGGUGCAUGGAACUCUUGGUGGAGCGGUGGAAUGCGUAGAUAUCAAGAGGAACGCCAAUGGAGAAAUCAGUGCACUGGGCUUGGCCUGACGCUGAGACACGAAAGCGUGGGGAGCGAACGGGAUUAGAUACCCCGGUAGUCCACGCCGUAAACGAUGUCUACUAGG
Molecule: ribosomal RNA, 738 nt
Filed under: uncultured bacterium
Lineage: Bacteria
Description: bacterial SSU rRNA
Rfam family: Bacterial small subunit ribosomal RNA
Source: RNAcentral